Molecule: ribosomal RNA, 374 nt
Filed under: uncultured bacterium
Lineage: Bacteria
Description: bacterial SSU rRNA
Rfam family: Bacterial small subunit ribosomal RNA
Source: RNAcentral
AGCCAAUAGAUACCCGGGUAGUCCACGCCCUAAACGAUGUCUACUAGUUGUUGGUGGAGUAAAAUCCAUGAGUAAACGCAGCUAAACGCGUGAAGUAGACCGCCUGGGGAGUACGGUCGCAAGAUUAAAACUCAAAGGAAUUGACGGGGGCCCGGCACAAGCGGUGGAUUAUGUGGAUUAAAUUCGAUGCAACGCGAAAAACCUUAACCUGGCCUUGACAUGCCACUAACGAAGCAGAGAUGCAUUAGGUGCCCGUAACGGGAAAGUGGACACAGGUGCUGCAUGGCUGUCGUCAGCUCGUGUCGUGAGAUGUUGGGUUAAGUCCCGCAACGAGCGCAACCCUUGCCAUUAAUUGCCAUCAUUUAGUUGGGCAC